RNAcentral lists this ribosomal RNA (227 nucleotides) under uncultured eukaryote. RNAcentral's name for it is "partial small subunit ribosomal RNA". It matches the Rfam family "Eukaryotic small subunit ribosomal RNA", at positions 1208 to 1456 of the family's 1831-position model. The record is from RNAcentral.
GGGAAACUCACCAGGUCCAGACAUGACUAGGAUUGACAGAUUGAUAGCUCUUUCUUGAUUUUAUGGGUGGUGGUGCAUGGCCGUUCUUAGUUGGUGGAGUGAUUUGUCUGGUUAAUUCCGAUAACGAACGAGACCUUAACCUGCUAAAUAGCCAGGCCGGCUUUGGCUGGUCGCCGGCUUCUUAGAGGGACUAUCAGCGUCUAGCUGAUGGAAGUUUGAGGCAAUAA